This 306-nucleotide non-coding RNA is filed under the name Clostridium estertheticum. RNAcentral's name for it is "T-box sequence". It matches the Rfam family "T-box leader". From Rfam's summary of the family: Uncharged tRNA acts as the effector for transcription antitermination of genes in the T-box leader family. T-boxes are found upstream of many aminoacyl-tRNA synthetase genes and some amino acid biosynthetic genes usually in Gram-positive bacteria. The record is from RNAcentral. Lineage: Bacteria; Bacillati; Bacillota; Clostridia; Eubacteriales; Clostridiaceae.
AUAAUAUCAAUGAGCAGAAAUAGUAGAUAAGGGAAUUUAGUUUAAGCGAACCUGGAUUAGUGAGAGCUGGGUACUGUAGCCGUUAUUGAAUGGGUCUGUGAGAUGUGAUGCGAACUAGUAGUAGCAUUAACCGGUAUGUCUACCGUUACAAAGACAGGGCAAUCGAGAAAUCCGUGCCUGGCAAAGAUAAUUAUUUAGGUGGUACAGCGAAAUUUAACAUUUCGUCCUUUAGUAGGAUGAAGUGUUUUUAUUUUUUUGUUACUAAAUAACUAAUAUGGGUGGCACCGCGGUCACUUCGUCCCAUUA